UAAGGAAUAUUGGACAAUGGAGGCAACUCUGAUCCAGCCAUGCCGCGUGAAGGAAUAAGGCCCUAUGGGUUGUAAACUUCUUUUAGACGGGACAAAACCCCUUUACGUGUGAAGGGUUGAUGGUACUGUCAGAAUAAGCAUCGGCUAACUUCGUGCCAGCAGCCGCGGUAAUACGAAGGAUGCAAGCGUUAUCCGGAAUUAUUGGGUUUAAAGGGUGCGUAGGCGGACUAAUAAGUCAGUGGUGAAAGCCUGCAGCUUAACUGCAGAAUUGCCAUUGNUACUGUUAGUCUUGAGUACAGUUGAGGUAGGCGGAAUGUGUCAUGUAGCGGUGAAAUGCUUAGAUAUGACACAGAACACCGAUUGCGAAGGCAGCUUGCUAAGCUGUAACUGACGCUGAGGCACGAAAGCGUGGGGAGCAAACA
This 422-nucleotide ribosomal RNA is filed under the name uncultured bacterium. RNAcentral's name for it is "bacterial SSU rRNA". It matches the Rfam family "Bacterial small subunit ribosomal RNA", at positions 355 to 774 of the family's 1533-position model. The record is from RNAcentral.